RNAcentral lists this ribosomal RNA (497 nucleotides) under uncultured bacterium. Its description in RNAcentral is "partial 16S ribosomal RNA". It matches the Rfam family "Bacterial small subunit ribosomal RNA", at positions 28 to 507 of the family's 1533-position model. The record is from RNAcentral.
GAUGAACGCUGGCGGCGUGCCUAAUACAUGCAAGUCGAGCGAACAGACGAGGAGCUUGCUCCUCUGACGUUAGCGGCGGACGGGUGAGUAACACGUGGAUAACCUACCUAUAAGACUGGGAUAACUUCGGGAAACCGGAGCUAAUACCGGAUAAUAUAUUGAACCGCAUGGUUCAAUAGUGAAAGACGGUUUUGCUGUCACUUAUAGAUGGAUCCGCGCCGCAUUAGCUAGUUGGUAAGGUAACGGCUUACCAAGGCGACGAUGCGUAGCCGACCUGAGAGGGGGAUCGGCCACACUGGAACUUAGACACGGUCCAGACUCCUACGGGAGGCAGCAGUAGGGAAUCUUCCGCAAUGGGCGAAAGCCUGACGGAGCAACGCCGCGUGAGUUAUGAAGGUCUUCGGAUCGUAAAACUCUGUUAUUAGGGAAGAACAAAUGUGUAAGUAACUAUGCACGUCUUGACGGUACCUAAUCAGAAAGCCACGGCUAACUACGUG